This 465-nucleotide ribosomal RNA is filed under the name Vreelandella stevensii. RNAcentral describes it as "partial 16S ribosomal RNA". It matches the Rfam family "Bacterial small subunit ribosomal RNA", at positions 338 to 795 of the family's 1533-position model. Lineage: Bacteria; Pseudomonadati; Pseudomonadota; Gammaproteobacteria; Oceanospirillales; Halomonadaceae. The record is from RNAcentral.
CCUACGGGUGGCUGCAGUGGGGAAUAUUGGACAAUGGGCGAAAGCCUGAUCCAGCCAUGCCGCGUGUGUGAAGAAGGCCUUCGGGUUGUAAAGCACUUUCAGUGGGGAAGAAAGCCUUGGGGCUAAUACCCUCGAGGAAGGACAUCACCCACAGAAGAAGCACCGGCUAACUCCGUGCCAGCAGCCGCGGCAAUACGGAGGGUGCGAGCGUUAAUCGGAAUUACUGGGCGUAAAGCGCGCGUAGGCGGUCUGAUAAGCCGGUUGUGAAAGCCCCGGGCUCAACCUGGGAACGGCAUCCGGAACUGUCAGGCUAGAGUGCAGGAGAGGAAGGUAGAAUUCCCGGUGUAGCGGUGAAAUGCGUAGAGAUCGGGAGGAAUACCAGUGGCGAAGGCGGCCUUCUGGACUGACACUGACGCUGAGGUGCGAAAGCGUGGGUAGCAAACAGGAUUAGAUACCCGAGUAGUC